GUCCUUUAGGUAUUUAUUUAAGGUCUGACCUGCUCAAUGAUUAGUUUAAAUGGCUGCGGUAAUUUAACCGUACAAAGGUAGCAUAAUCAUUUGUCUUUUAAUUGAAGGCUGGUAUGAAUGGUUGGACGAGAAAUUUGCUUUCUUUAUAUUAUAAGAUGAAAUUAAUUUCUUAGUUAAAAAGCUAAGAUGUUUUUAUAGGACGAGAAGACCCUAUAGAAUUUUAUAGUUUUUUUUAAAAUUGAUUUUUUGUUUAUUAUAUUUAUUUUUAAAAAAAAUUAUUUUGUUGGGGUGACAUGAAGAUUCUAUUAACUCUUCUGUUUUAUUUUCAAUAAUUAUUGUUUUUUUGAUCCAUUAUUAUUGAUUAUCAGAUUAAAUUACCUUAGGGAUAACAGCGUAAUUUCUUUUUAGAGUUCUUAUCGAUAAGGAAGUUUGCGA
Molecule: ribosomal RNA, 435 nt
Filed under: Ochterus marginatus
Lineage: Eukaryota; Metazoa; Arthropoda; Insecta; Hemiptera; Ochteridae
Description: partial 16S ribosomal RNA
Rfam family: Bacterial large subunit ribosomal RNA
Source: RNAcentral